This 253-nucleotide ribosomal RNA is filed under the name uncultured bacterium. RNAcentral's name for it is "partial 16S ribosomal RNA". It matches the Rfam family "Bacterial small subunit ribosomal RNA", at positions 524 to 776 of the family's 1533-position model. The record is from RNAcentral.
UACGAGAGGCCCAAACGUUAUUCGGAAUUACUGGGCUUAAAGAGUUCGUAGGCGGCAUUGCAAGUAGGGUGUGAAAGCCCUCGGCUCAACCGAGGAAUUGCGCUCUAAACUGCAGUGCUUGAGGAAGCUAGAGGUGAGCAGAACAGAUGGUGGAGCGGUGAAAUGCGUUGAUAUCAUCUGGAAUACCGGAGGCGAAGGCGGCUCACUGAGGCUUUUCUGACGCUGAGGAACGAAAGCCAGGGUAGCGAACGGG